RNAcentral lists this ribosomal RNA (401 nucleotides) under uncultured bacterium. Its description in RNAcentral is "bacterial SSU rRNA". It matches the Rfam family "Bacterial small subunit ribosomal RNA", at positions 359 to 776 of the family's 1533-position model. The record is from RNAcentral.
GAAUAUUGGACAAUGGGGGAAACCCUGAUCCAGCAAUGCCGCGUGAGUGAUGAAGGCCUUAGGGUUGUAAAGCUCUUUCGGCGGGGAAGAUGAUGACGGUACCCGCAGAAGAAGCCCCGGCUAACUUCGUGCCAGCAGCCGCGGUAAUACGAAGGGGGCUAGCGUUGUUCGGAAUUACUGGGCGUAAAGGGCGCGUAGGCGGCCACCGCAAGUCGACUGUGAAAUCUCCGGGCUUAACCCGGAAAGGUCAGCCGAUACUGCGGGGCUAGAGUGCAGAAGGGGCAACUGGAAUUCUCGGUGUAGCGGUGAAAUGCGUAGAUAUCGAGAGGAACACCUGCGGCGAAGGCGGGUUGCUGGGCUGACACUGACGCUGAGGCGCGAAAGCUAGGGGAGCGAACGGG